AGUGGCGAACGGGUGAGUAAUAUAUCGGAACGUGCCCAGUCGAGGGGGAUAACGUAGCGAAAGUUACGCUAAUACCGCAUACGAUCUAAGGAUGAAAGCGGGGGAUCGCAAGACCUCGCGCGACUGGAGCGGCCGAUAUCAGAUUAGGUAGUUGGUAGGGUAAAGGCCUACCAAGCCAACGAUCUGUAGCUGGUCUGAGAGGACGACCAGCCACACUGGAACUGAGACACGGUCCAGACUCCUACGGGAGGCAGCAGUGGGGAAUUUUGGACAAUGGGCGAAAGCCUGAUCCAGCCAUUCCGCGUGCAGGAUGAAGGCCCUCGGGUUGCAAACUGCUUUUGUACAGAACGAAAAGGUUUCUAUUAAUACUAGGAGCUCAUGACGGUACUGUAAGAAUAAGCACCGGCUAACUACGUGCCAGCAGCCGCGGUAAUACGUAGGGUGCAAGCGUUAAUCGGAAUUACUGGGCGUAAAGCGUGCGCAGGCGGUUAUAUAAGUCAGAUGUGAAAUCCCCGGGCUCAACCUGGGAACUGCAUUUGAGACUGUAUAGCUAGAGUACGGUAGAGGGGGAUGGAAUUCCGCGUGUAGCAGUGUAAUGCGUAGAUAUGCGGAGGAACACCGAUGGCGAAGGCAAUCCCCUGGACCUGUACUGACGCUCAUGCACGAAAGCGUGGGGAGCAAACAGGAUUAGAUACCCUGG
RNAcentral lists this ribosomal RNA (700 nucleotides) under uncultured beta proteobacterium. RNAcentral's name for it is "bacterial SSU rRNA". It matches the Rfam family "Bacterial small subunit ribosomal RNA", at positions 94 to 790 of the family's 1533-position model. Lineage: Bacteria; Pseudomonadati; Pseudomonadota; Betaproteobacteria. The record is from RNAcentral.